RNAcentral lists this ribosomal RNA (517 nucleotides) under uncultured bacterium. RNAcentral's name for it is "bacterial SSU rRNA". It matches the Rfam family "Bacterial small subunit ribosomal RNA", at positions 8 to 518 of the family's 1533-position model. The record is from RNAcentral.
AGAGUUUGAUCCUGACUUAGGAUGAACGCUAGCUACAGGCUUAACACAUGCAAGUCGAGGGCAGCAUGAUCAAGCUUGCUUUGAUUGAUGGCGACCGGCGCACGGUGAGUAACGCGUAUCCAACCUUCCCUAUAGUAGUGGAUAGCCCGGCGAAAGUCGGAUUAAUACACUAUGUUGUAUUUAGAGGACAUCUGAAGAAUACCAAAGGUUUACCGCUAUAGGAUGGGGAUGCGUCUGAUUAGAUAGUAGGCGGGUAACGGCCCACCUAGUCGACGAUCAGUAGGGGUUCUGAGAGGAAGGUCCCCCACAUUGGAACUGAGACACGGUCCAAACUCCUACGGGAGGCAGCAGUGAGGAAUAUUGGUCAAUGGACGGGAGUCUGAACCAGCCAAGUAGCGUGCAGGAUGACGGCCCUAUGGGUUGUAAACUGCUUUUAUACGGGGAUAAAGUGAGCCACGUGUGGCUUUUUGUAGGUACCGUAUGAAUAAGGACCGGCUAAUUCCGUGCCAGCAGCCGC